GGAAAAGUUCCUUCGGGAACCUAGUACAGUGGCGCACGGGUGAGUAACACGUAGGUGACCUACCUUCAGCUGGGGAACAACACCGGGAAACCGGAGCUAAUUCCGCAUACGUCUUCCGGUCUACGGACCGGAAGGGAAAGGUGGCCUCUCCUUGGAAGCUAUCGGCGGAAGAUGGGCCUGCGCGUCAUUAGCUAGUUGGUGAGGUAAUGGCUCACCAAGGCUACGAUGACUAGCUGAUCUGAGAGGAUGAUCAGCCACACUGGAACUGAAACACGGUCCAGACUCCUACGGGAGGCAGCAGUGGGGAAUCUUGCGCAAUGGGCGAAAGCCUGACGCAGCAACGCCGCGUGAGUGACGAAGGCCUUCGGGUCGUAAAGCUCUGUCGAGAGGGACGAACCAUUGGUGGGAACAAUACCUCACCGAUUUGACGGUACCUCCAAAGGAAGCACCGGCUAACUCCGUGCCAGCAGCCGCGGUAAUACGGAGGGUGCAAGCGUUGUUCGGAAUUACUGGGCGUAAAGGGCGUGUAGGCGGAUCGAGAAGUCGGGUGUGAAAUCCCUGGGCUCAACCCAGGAAGUGCGCCCGAAACCAUCGAUCUCGAGAUUCGGAGGGGAGCGGGGAAUUCCCAGUGUAGAGGUGAAAUUCGUAGAUAUUGGGAAGAACACCGGCGCCGAAGGGGCCGCUCUGGACGAAUACUGACGCUAAGACGCGAAAGC
RNAcentral lists this ribosomal RNA (716 nucleotides) under uncultured bacterium. RNAcentral describes it as "bacterial SSU rRNA". It matches the Rfam family "Bacterial small subunit ribosomal RNA", at positions 68 to 760 of the family's 1533-position model. The record is from RNAcentral.